Molecule: ribosomal RNA, 497 nt
Filed under: uncultured bacterium
Lineage: Bacteria
Description: partial 16S ribosomal RNA
Rfam family: Bacterial small subunit ribosomal RNA
Source: RNAcentral
GAUGAACGCUGGCGGCGUGCCUAAUACAUGCAAGUCGAGCGAACAGACGAGAAGCUUCCUCCUCUGACGUUAGCGGCGGGCGGGUGAGUCACACGUGGGUAACCUACCUAUAAGCCUGGUAUGACUGCGGGAAACCGGAGCUAAUACCGUAUAAUAUAUUGAACCGCAUGGUUCAAUAAUGAAAGACGGGUUUGCGGUCACUUAUAGAUGUAUCCGCGCGGCGUUAGCGAGUUGGUAAGGUAACGGCUUACCAGGGCAACGAUGCGUAGCCGGCCUGAGAGGGUGAUCGGCCACACUGGAAUGGAGACACGGAUCAGACUCGUACGGCAGGCAGCAGUAGGGAAUCUUGCGGCAUGGGCGAAAGCCUGACGGAGCAACGAAGCGUGAGUGAUGAAGGUCUUCGGAUCGUAAAACUCUGUUAUUAGGGAAGAACAAAUGUGUAAGUAACUAGGCACGUCUUGACGGUACCUAAUCAGAAAGCCACGGCUAACUACGUG